CACGUAGGGUGCGAGCGUUGUCCGGAAUUAUUGGGCGUAAAGAGCUCGUAGGCGGUGUGUCGCGUCGGCCGUGAAAACCUGCAGCUUAACUGCGGGCUUGCGGUCGAUACGGGCAUCACUGGAGUUCGGCAGGGGAGACUGGAAUUCCUGGUGUAGCGGUGAAAUGCGCAGAUAUCAGGAGGAACACCAAUUGCGAAGGCAGCUCGCUGGGACGUUACUGACGCUGAGGAGCGAAAGCAUGGGGAGCGAACAGG
Molecule: ribosomal RNA, 254 nt
Filed under: uncultured bacterium
Lineage: Bacteria
Description: partial 16S ribosomal RNA
Rfam family: Bacterial small subunit ribosomal RNA
Source: RNAcentral